CAUUCCCUUCUCUCUCACAAGUCACACAUGUCACAAAACUUCAUCAGUCCUCUCUCUCUCUCGGGCGACUCAAGAACGUUAUGCCAGAUCUCACCAGAUGUCGUUUAAUGACAGAUAUCAACUUGUGAUUGGAUCUGGUGGCUGAUAGGUCGUGGAGCGAAACCCUAACAACGUCGACGAAGCUGAACGGGUCUUAAUGACACCGAAUCAAUGAUUUUCUCUCUAUCGACACAAGAUCCACUGGGGUUGACCUCUAGGUCACCUGCUUCAGUUCUGGUUGGUUUCUCGAGCAUGUCCAUCGCAACUGAGACGAGAUCCCGGUGGUCGAUGGUGGUUGAGUGGCAUUGGCCAAAUUAGGAGGCACUUUGCAUAUCUCGAGGAAAAUGAUGGGAAAAGUGGGCCCGUUAUACCUCCAGAGAGACGCUUAAAGCCACUGCUGUUGAAUCCAAUGAGACACUUGAUGUCACAAGUGAUUCAGUUACAUCAUAUGCCGACCACCUCGAACUCAACACGAUACUCUUCUUAACAUGUUGUUCGAUGAAGGAACUUACACGAAACUCUACAGUUACAAGCAUCUUAUCAAUGGUUUCGCUGCUGACGUUUCUACCGAACAGAAACUUUACCGUUGGGAUGAUGAAUUUUCCAGUAAGUAGACAAACAGCCAGAAGGGUACAAAAAGCAAGCAACGGGAUCGAAGUAAAAGGGUAAACGAUUGUGUUAAUGUACGUGAGCCUCUGAGCCUCUGGAGCGUUUUCAGCUUCUCGGCCCACGCGUACCAGAGGGGGCAAUGUCGGCUCAUGAAAAUCUCAACUGAACCAAGAGCCUGUCGAAGCACCUGGUGCAACCUGUCGGACAAAUUGAUCGGUGCAGACCCCUUGAAUGCGGCCCUUUAUGGCAUACAGUAAACCGAUUUGCAUCCUCAACCAUGGUGGUCGGAGAACUCGCCCGGGUUCAUGGUGGAGGGGUAGGUCAGUCGGUAGCCAAAGAUUUGUAUUCAAAUGCUAUGACAAUCCUAAUACCGUCUCACUGUAUGGACGGGUCGGGUGGGUUAGGUAACAUGUCAGGUGGUUUGGUCCAUCAACGCUAUGUGUAGGCGAGCAGGAGUUGCAGCAGAAGCAAGAGCCAUAGUAGAAGUCGAAGCCGAAGCAGAAGGUUUCUGUCAAAAGAAGCUUAAACUCGGGAGAGUGGAAUAACAAGCUUAUUAUGGCCGGUGAAGUUGGAUAAACAAGCACAGAACCAAAAGAUUAAGAGAGCUUUGGGAUAUCUGAUGUAAUAAUAAUAGUCUGUUUAUUACAUAGGAAUAGUGAGUCUUAUCCUUGGUCAUUGCAUGAGAGAUUUGCCCCUCCUCUAACUUCUAAGCGUACAAUCCCUUUCGAAGACCCGUUUGCAAGAGGGCGGAACAGAAAGAGCAAUACUUGAUAAUCCAUUACACAAACUAACUGGAGAGUCUCAAUAGUGUUCACCUCGGUCUUCAAUUUUCAGUUUUUUGAUGUUUUUUGUGUGUUGUAAUGGUUGUUCUCUAGCAUAAUUUGGCCGGGACAAAUGGGCGUGUUGUUUUCUGCUUGUUAUCCUUCCCCUCUUAGCAACUUGCUAAGCCCUAAGAGUGGGAUGUUUAUGGUUGAAUAAAGUAGCUUUGUUUUUCUUUCAAAAUAUAUAUAUUAAAAGAUCAACCGGAAUUAUUUUAUUAAAUAAGUGAAAAAUGAAAAUUCAAAAUCA
This is a long non-coding RNA of Helianthus annuus (common sunflower), 1716 nucleotides long. RefSeq lists it as uncharacterized. The transcript is spliced from 9 exons. The record is from RefSeq and is a predicted model, not a curated record. NCBI's taxonomy places the organism in Eukaryota, Viridiplantae, Streptophyta, Magnoliopsida, Asterales, Asteraceae.